UGUUGGGGUAACGGCCCAACAAGCCAUUGAUCGGUACGGGUUGUGGGAGCAAGAGCCCGGAGAUGGAUUCUGAGACAUGAAUCCAGGCCCUACGGGGCGCAGCAGGCGCGAAAACUUUACAAUGCGAGCAAUCGUGAUAAGGAAACCCUGAGUGCCUGUCAAUGCAGGCUGUUCUGGUGUCUAACACACACCAGGAGAAAGGGCCGGGCAAGACCGGUGCCAGCCGCCGCGGUAAUACCGGCUGCUCGAGUGAUAGCCGCUUUUACUGGGCUUAAAGCGUUCGUAGCUUGGUCGUUAAGUCUCUGGGGAAAUCUUUUGGCUUAACCAAAAGGCGUCUCAGGGAAACUGGCGAUCUUGGAACCGGGAGAGGUAAGACGUACUUCGGGGGUAGGAGUGAAAUCUUGUAAUCCCCGAGGGACGACCGAUGGCGAAGGCAUCUUACCAGAACGGCUUCGACAGUGAGGGACGAAAGCUGGGGGAGCAAACCGGAUUAGAU
This 496-nucleotide ribosomal RNA is filed under the name uncultured microorganism. RNAcentral's name for it is "bacterial SSU rRNA". It matches the Rfam family "Archaeal small subunit ribosomal RNA", at positions 234 to 734 of the family's 1478-position model. The record is from RNAcentral.